GGUUGCGAUCAUACCAGCACUAAUGCACCAGAUCCAAUCAGAACUUCGCAGUUAUGCGUGCUUGGGCAAGAGUAGUACUAGGAUGGGUGACCCCCUGGGAAGUCCCCGUGUUGCAACCC
Molecule: ribosomal RNA, 119 nt
Filed under: Helianthus annuus (common sunflower)
Lineage: Eukaryota; Viridiplantae; Streptophyta; Magnoliopsida; Asterales; Asteraceae
Source: RNAcentral